UACAGAGGGGGCCAGCGUUAUUCGGAAUUAUUGGGCGUAAAGGGCGCGUAGGCGGCCAUGCGUGUCUUCCGUGAAAUCCCUCGGCUUAACCGAGGACGUGCGGAAGAAACUGCAAGGCUCGAGUCCGGAAGAGGGGGGCGGAAUUCCCAGUGUAGCGGUGAAAUGCGUAGAUAUCAGGAGGAACACCGAUUGCGAAGGCAGCUCGCUGGGACGUUACUGACGCUGGGACGCGAAAGCGUGGGGAGCAAACAGG
This 253-nucleotide ribosomal RNA is filed under the name uncultured bacterium. Its description in RNAcentral is "partial 16S ribosomal RNA". It matches the Rfam family "Bacterial small subunit ribosomal RNA", at positions 524 to 776 of the family's 1533-position model. The record is from RNAcentral.